CGUCCCGGUCGCCCGGGACAUCUUCCAGGGAAAGAACGAAGGAGGUAAGGCACCUUCCCCACCCACCCCUACCUACCCGUCACUCACACGAGUGGAUUGUCCAACUGAGGUCAGGGUUCGGAUGGUUGGGCGGCAUAUGCUCGCACCGAGAGCGAAGCCAACCACCGCAGACAUGCGGCGGCCCCCAGCCAGGACUACCGAUCCUUGGAGGGGGCCUGACCACUCAGGAAUGGACGUUCCCA
RNAcentral lists this non-coding RNA (242 nucleotides) under Streptomyces sp. CC53. RNAcentral's name for it is "Streptomyces sRNA 4677". It matches the Rfam family "Streptomyces sRNA 4677". Rfam says of the family: Located in the intergenic region between anti-sigma factor SCO4677 gene and a putative regulatory protein gene SCO4676. scr4677 expression requires the SCO4677 activity and scr4677 sRNA itself seem to affect the levels of the SCO4676-associated transcripts. Lineage: Bacteria; Bacillati; Actinomycetota; Actinomycetes; Kitasatosporales; Streptomycetaceae. The record is from Rfam by way of RNAcentral.